CCCUUAGAUGUUCUGGGCCGCACGCGCGCUACACUGACGAAGUCAGCGAGCAUGUCCUACGCCGACAGGUGCGGGGAAUCUUGUCAAACUUCGUCGUGAUGGGGAUUGAUUAUUGAAAUUCUUGAUCAUCAACGAGGAAUUCCUAGUAAGCGCAAGUCAGCAGCUUGCGUUGAUUACGUCCCUGCCCUUUGUACACACCGCCCGUCGCUACUACCGAUUGAAUGGUUUAGUGAGAUCUUCGGAUUGGCGCCACUGCGGCGCAGCAAUGGGCUCGGUGGAUGCCGAAAAGUUGAUCAAACUUGAUCAUUUAGAGGAAGUAAAAGUCGUAACA
Molecule: ribosomal RNA, 331 nt
Filed under: uncultured eukaryote
Lineage: Eukaryota
Description: partial 18S ribosomal RNA
Rfam family: Eukaryotic small subunit ribosomal RNA
Source: RNAcentral